RNAcentral lists this ribosomal RNA (266 nucleotides) under uncultured bacterium. RNAcentral's name for it is "partial 16S ribosomal RNA". It matches the Rfam family "Bacterial small subunit ribosomal RNA", at positions 88 to 354 of the family's 1533-position model. The record is from RNAcentral.
CAUUCGAGUGGCGGACGGGUGAGUAACGCGUGGGUAACCUGCCUUACACAGGGGGAUAACACCUGGAAACAGGUGCUAAUACCGCAUAAGCGCACAGGGCCGCAUGGCCCGGUGUGAAAAACUCCGGUGGUACAGGAUGGACCCGCGUCUGAUUAGGUAGUUGGCGGGGUAACGGCCCACCAAGCCGACGAUCAGUAGCCGACCUGAGAGGGUGACCGGCCACAUUGGGACUGAGACACGGCCCAAACUCCUACGGAAGGCAGCAG